UAUGCAAUUCCAUCAACCUCGGAGUGGAGAGAGUUGCUUUUUUUAGCAACCGCUCAGAUACAACGGGUCAUUCAAGCCUGCACAUCUGCCCUCAGAGGAUACAGAAUAGAAAACAGAAGACGAGGACUGGAGCUGAAUCCCAAUAUGCCUCCCGAGCCGACUCCUUCAUGUGCAGAGGCUGGGCGGGGCGAUCCUGAUUAGAGAGCAUCACUCACACUCCUCCGCACCUGACGCGGAUUCACAAUCAGCGAUGGAUAAAGCCUGCUUCCACCUGUGUUCCAGCUCCAGUGGAUUGAUCUCCUCAGCGUAGUAACAAACCAGCGGUGCUUUGUGAACUUGGUGCUUUGCUUGAACUUUCCCUUGUCUCAUGUAUGUUCUCUCGUCUUUGCCUGCCAGAACCUCUCCGAAAAACCGCUGCAUUCUCCGCUCAGCUUAGCCUACAGAACCAGCCUCUGUCGUCUUGCCUCCCAGCUUCCCCGGGAAAUUCCCAGGAUUUCCCUCACCCCCUUGGCUACCCUCACAAGCUCCUCAGUGUCCCUUUGUGCACAAAUAAAUCCUUCUUGU
Molecule: long non-coding RNA, 564 nt
Organism: Stegastes partitus (bicolor damselfish)
Lineage: Eukaryota; Metazoa; Chordata; Actinopteri; Pomacentridae
Exons: 3
Source: RefSeq, a predicted model, not a curated record